Molecule: ribosomal RNA, 253 nt
Filed under: uncultured bacterium
Lineage: Bacteria
Description: partial 16S ribosomal RNA
Rfam family: Bacterial small subunit ribosomal RNA
Source: RNAcentral
UACGAAGGGGACUGGCGUUGUUCGGAAUUACUGGGCGUAAAGCGCGCGUAGGCGGAUCGCUAAGUCAGGGGUGAAAUCCCAGGGCUCAACCCUGGAACUGCCUUUGAUACUGACGAUCUGGAGAUCGGGAGAGGUUGGUGGAAUUCCGAGUGUAGAGGUGAAAUUCGUAGAUAUUCGGAGGAACACCAGAAGCGAAGGCGGCCAACUGGCCCGAUACUGACGCUGAGGCGCGAAAGCGUGGGGAGCAAACAGG